Molecule: transfer RNA, 63 nt
Filed under: Ictidomys tridecemlineatus (thirteen-lined ground squirrel)
Lineage: Eukaryota; Metazoa; Chordata; Mammalia; Rodentia; Sciuridae
Description: Spermophilus tridecemlineatus (thirteen-lined ground squirrel) tRNA
Rfam family: tRNA
About the family: Transfer RNA (tRNA) molecules are approximately 80 nucleotides in length. Their secondary structure includes four short double-helical elements and three loops (D, anti-codon, and T loops).
Source: Rfam by way of RNAcentral
AUAUAGCUCAGUGGUAGAGCACUUACCUCCCACAUGCAAGGCCCUGGGUUCAAUUCCCAGUAU